AGAGUUUGAUCCUGGCUCAGGAUGAACGCUAGCUACAGGCUUAACACAUGCAAGUCGAGGGGCAUCAGGAAGAAAGCUUGCUUUCUUUGCUGGCGACCGGCGCACGGGUGAGUAACACGUAUCCAACCUGCCCUUUACUCGGGGAUAGCCUUUCGAAAGAAAGAUUAAUACCCGAUGGCAUAAUGAUUCCGCAUGGUUUCAUUAUUAAAGGAUUCCGGUAAAGGAUGGGGAUGCGUUCCAUUAGGUUGUUGGUGAGGUAACGGCCCACCAAGCCUUCGAUGGAUAGGGGUUCUGAGAGGAAGGUCCCCCACAUUGGAACUGAGACACGGUCCAAACUCCUACGGGAGGCAGCAGUGAGGAAUAUUGGUCAAUGGGCGCUAGCCUGAACCAGCCAAGUAGCGUGAAGGAUGAAGGCUCUAUGGGUCGUAAACUUCUUUUAUAUAAGAAUAAAGUGCAGUAUGUAUACUGUUUUGUAUGUAUUAUAUGAAUAAGGAUCGGCUAACUCCGUGCCAGCAGCCGCGGUAAUACGGAGGAUCCGAGCGUUAUCCGGAUUUAUUGGGUUUAAAGGGAGCGUAGGUGGACUGGUAAGUCAGUUGUGAAAGUUUGCGGCUCAACCGUAAAAUUGCAGUUGAUACUGUCAGUCUUGAGUACAGUAGAGGUGGGCGGAAUUCGUGGGGUAGCGGUGAAAUGCUUAGAUAUCACGAAGAACUCCGAUUGCGAAGGCAGCUCACUGGACUGCAACUGACACUGAUGCUCGAAAGUGUGGGUAUCAAACAGGAUUAGAUACCCUGGUAGUCCACACAGUAAACGAUGAAUACUCGCUGUUUGCGAUAUACAGUAAGCGGCCAAGCGAAAGCAUUAAGUAUUCCACCUGGGGAGUACGCCGGCAACGGUGAAACUCAAAGGAAUUGACGGGGGCCCGCACAAGCGGAGGAACAUGUGGUUUAAUUCGAUGAUACGCGAGGAACCUUACCCGGGCUUAAAUUGCAGUGGAAUGAUGUGGAAACAUGUCAGUGAGCAAUCACCGCUGUGAAGGUGCUGCAUGGUUGUCGUCAGCUCGUGCCGUGAGGUGUCGGCUUAAGUGCCAUAACGAGCGCAACCCUUAUCUUCAGUUACUAACAGGUCAUGCUGAGGACUCUGGAGAGACUGCCGUCGUAAGAUGUGAGGAAGGUGGGGAUGACGUCAAAUCAGCA
RNAcentral lists this ribosomal RNA (1193 nucleotides) under Bacteroides fragilis str. 2-F-2 #4. Its description in RNAcentral is "bacterial SSU rRNA". It matches the Rfam family "Bacterial small subunit ribosomal RNA", at positions 8 to 1195 of the family's 1533-position model. Lineage: Bacteria; Pseudomonadati; Bacteroidota; Bacteroidia; Bacteroidales; Bacteroidaceae. The record is from RNAcentral.